CUGUGCUCCAAUUUAUCAUUUUUUUCGUGUAAACUUCGUAUAAUCGUCAAUUUUUUUUUCAAUCUGUCAGUGUUGUUGUGAAAAUAUGGCAGGUAAUUAAAGUUCGUGUUCUGAAGCCGAAGUUUAACGAUUGUCACCUGUUUGUCAACAAUUGACGAAAAAUAAACAAAAAAGCAUGGAAAUUGAGCACGUGUUUAACAUGUAAAUUCAGAUAAUAGUUUAUUUUAAGGACAUCCAUGCGUAUUGUGGUCACCGGAUUUUUACGAGAUGGGUCACACUGAGGUCACCUUGCAUACGGAAAAUAUAUCGGGGGAAUUGCUUGCUGGAAGGAAGCAAUUCAAAUAAAGUAAACUUCUUCUAAAUAUGAAUAAAUUAAAGAAUUUUCUUCAGAAAAAAGUAUAUGUACACAAGUUUUACAAUGAAAACUAUCGAUUGAGUUAUAAAAAACAUAUGCAUUAUUUUUUUUUGAUUUGAGGUUUCUUAUGACUUUAA
This 492-nucleotide long non-coding RNA is filed under the name Mytilus galloprovincialis (Mediterranean mussel). Lineage: Eukaryota; Metazoa; Mollusca; Bivalvia; Mytilida; Mytilidae. The record is from RNAcentral.